AUGAUCCUACACGACAAAUUGUCGCGUCUUGGGCGCUCCUUGCGUUGCUGGAGUAGGAAAACAGUUGGUAAUAUUACGCUACUCUCAGCCGCUGCGGAACAGAUUAUCCUUGGCUUGGACCAUGCUCAAGACCACAGAGACCUUACUAUUGCUGAAAUAGGUCUAAGGCACUAUCUAAAGCGCAAAUUGCUUGGCCUUGCUGCAAUCCAACGCAUCAGGAUCAGGCAAAGAUCAAGGGUCUUAUGGCUUCGUGCGGGUGAUGCUAAUUCUCGGCUGUUUCACAUCAAGGCCAACGGGAGACGCCGCCACAAUUAUAUUCCCCUUUUGCAGACCGAUCAUGGCCAAUUCACCACCCAAGCUGACAAGCAUGCUGAGCUUCACAAGCACUUCUCUGUCACCAUUGGCUCAGUUAAAGCAAGGAACCAAUCGCUUAAUUGGGAUGCCUUGGACCUUCCCAGACUUGACCUUUCCUCCCUGGAUGCCCCGUUCACAGAGGAGGAAAUUAAAGCGGCAGUUUUUGGUCUACCUUCCGGUAAGGCGCCUGGGCCGGACGGUUUCACCGCUGAUUUUUUCAAGCACUGCUGGGAGGUGAUUAAGCAUGAUCUUACUGCGGCCAUAUGUCAGUUCUUCAACCUUCGCGGUAAUCAUUGGCACAUGUUGAAUUCUGCUCACAUUACUCUUCUGCCCAAAUCCAAUGAGGCUUCUCGCAUCAAGGAGUUCCGCCCCAUCAGUCUCAUGCACUCUGUCGGAAAGAUUGUUUGCAAGAUGUUGUCCAUCCGCCUGGCUCCGUUCCUAUCAGUGUUGAUCCCUCCCUCCCAGAGCGCUUUCAUCAAGACUCGCAGCAUCCAUGACAACUUCUUGUUUGUCAAGAAUGCCGUCCGGAAAUUACACUCUGUCAACGAUCCUGCU
RNAcentral lists this ribosomal RNA (909 nucleotides) under Triticum aestivum (bread wheat). Its description in RNAcentral is "partial small subunit ribosomal RNA". The record is from RNAcentral. Lineage: Eukaryota; Viridiplantae; Streptophyta; Magnoliopsida; Poales; Poaceae.